CUCUCUGGCGGAGCGAUCUGCGCGCCAUCUGCACUCGUACUUUCGAACCAUUUCAAACGAUGACAAGUGGAAUCAAGAGAUAAUAGUCCAAAAUGUUGGAGACCAAAAGAAGAGCGAUAUGAACCGUGAAAUAUAUUUAAUUAUUAUUAAAUUAUUAUUAUUAAAAAGAUUCUAGAUUCGCCGAUGAUAAUCAAUCGAUUAUUAUAUCGAUAAUUUGUUAUAUAGAAAUUACAAGACCUGUUCUUUUCAGUCUGGACUUCUUCAUCUUUUCUCUUUUUUUUUUCUCCAAAACGUUGGAGACAAAAAGAAGAGCGAUAUGAAACGUGAAAUAUAUUUAAUUAUUAUUAAAUUAUUAUUAUUAAAAAGAUUCCAGAUUCGCCGACGAUAAUCAAUCGAUUAUUAUAUCGAUAAUUUGUUAUAUAGAAAUUACAAGACCUGUUCUUUUCAGUCUGGACUUCUUCAUCUUUUCUCUUUUUUUUUCUCCAAAACGUUGGAGACAAAAAGAAGAGCGAUAUAAACCGUGAAAUAUAUUUAAUUAUUAUUGUUGCAAACCGCGCAGGAAUUCGUAUUUUUUGAAAAUACUGCCAUGUGAAAAACAGGAAGCUCGCCUCGCAUUCUUUGUUUGCACAAAUAGGUAGAACCGUCGCUGGCGGCUACCCUAUAAAAGGGGGGCCGCGCUGAGGUGACUUUCACGCUUCAGUAAAAAUUCAAAGACAAAAGGAUCGCGUAAUAUAUUUCAGUCGCUCUAUAAGUUGCAAGACACGCGCGAAAAUCUUGUAAAUUUCUUGUUAAAACUGUUAUGACUUAUAUUACUUGUGUACGUAAAAUAAAAUUGAGUUUAACUCCACCUUGCUGUAAAUAUAUUUCUUGAACAAAAAAAA
This is a long non-coding RNA of Wasmannia auropunctata (little fire ant), 881 nucleotides long. RefSeq lists it as uncharacterized. The transcript has 2 exons. The record is from RefSeq and is a predicted model, not a curated record. NCBI's taxonomy places the organism in Eukaryota, Metazoa, Arthropoda, Insecta, Hymenoptera, Formicidae.